This 446-nucleotide small RNA is filed under the name Arabidopsis thaliana (thale cress). Its description in RNAcentral is "ATSL277460". Lineage: Eukaryota; Viridiplantae; Streptophyta; Magnoliopsida; Brassicales; Brassicaceae. The record is from RNAcentral.
ACUUAUAAUUUCUUGAAAACUUAUAAAUUGAAUUUUAAAAGAAAUUUAAACAUUAUAAAUAUAUAUAAAAUAUAUUAAUACGAGACGAUAUAUUACAUGAAAAAUCUUAAAUAUAAUCAAGGUCGAUAUUGUAUUUUUUGUAAGUUUCAAAUUUUAUAAUAUUGAAAUUUAUAAGAAAAUGACAAAAUUAUGUUUAAUUUCACGGGACUGGGUUAUAUGGUAGGAAGGGUUUGGGUGGAUAAUAAUUAUGAUUAUACAAUGUCCCACAUCGCUUAAAAAAAUUGGACAAUGGUUCAGAGCCAUACUAUAAAAAGGACCAAAAUGAUUUAGAUUAGGAAUGAGCAUGAAACUUGAUUUAUGAGGUGUCCAAAAUUAAAAUAGUUUGUUUACUAGGGUUAUUUAUUUUAAAGAAUUGAAACUUUAAAAAGUUUCAAAAAAUUAUAAAU